RNAcentral lists this ribosomal RNA (467 nucleotides) under uncultured bacterium. RNAcentral's name for it is "partial 16S ribosomal RNA". It matches the Rfam family "Bacterial small subunit ribosomal RNA", at positions 28 to 507 of the family's 1533-position model. The record is from RNAcentral.
GACGAACGCUGGCGGCGUGCUUAACACAUGCAAGUCGAACGGAAAGGCCCUGCUUUUGUGGGGUGCUCGAGUGGCGAACGGGUGAGUAACACGUGAGUAACCUGCCCUUGACUUUGGGAUAACUUCAGGAAACUGGGGUAAUAACGGAAAGGAGCCCCUGCCGGAUGGUGGGGGGUGGAAAGGUUCGGCGGUUGGGGAUGGACUCGCGGCUUAUCAGCUUGUUGGUGGGGUAGUGGCUUACCAAGGCUUUGACGGGUAGCCGGCCUGAGAGGGUGACCGGCCACAUUGGGACUGAGAUACGGCCCAGACUCCUACGGGAGGCAGCAGUGGGGAAUAUUGCACAAUGGGCGGAAGCCUGAUGCAGCAACGCCGCGUGCGGGAUGACGGCCUUCGGGUUGUAAACCGCUUUCGCCUGUGACGAAGCGUGAGUGACGGUAAUGGGUAAAGAAGCACCGGCUAACUACGUG